This 497-nucleotide ribosomal RNA is filed under the name uncultured bacterium. Its description in RNAcentral is "partial 16S ribosomal RNA". It matches the Rfam family "Bacterial small subunit ribosomal RNA", at positions 28 to 507 of the family's 1533-position model. The record is from RNAcentral.
GACGAACGCUGGCGGCGUGCCUAAUACAUGCAAGUAGAACGCUGAAGAGAGGAGCUUGCUCUUCUUGGAUGAGUUGCGAACGGGUGAGUAACGCGUAGGUAACCUGCCUGGUAGCGGGGGAUAACUAUUGGAAACGAUAGCUAAUACCGCAUAAAAUGGAUUAUCGCAUGAUAAUCCAUUGAAAGGUGCAAAUGCAUCACUACCAGAUGGACCUGCGUUGUAUUAGCUAGUUGGUGGGGUAACGGCUCACCAAGGCGACGAUACAUAGCCGACCUGAGAGGGUGGUCGGCCACACUGGGACUGAGACACGGCCCAGACUCCUACGGGAGGCAGCAGUAGGGAAUCUUCGGCAAUGGACGGAAGUCUGACCGAGCAACGCCGCGUGAGUGAAGAAGGUUUUCGGAUCGUAAAGCUCUGUUGUAAGAGAAGAACGAGUGUGAGAGUGGAAAGUUCACACUGUGACGGUAUCUUACCAGAAAGGGACGGCUAACUACGUG